AGGGAUGGGCACAUGACAGAGCUUGGGCCAAUCAGAGGCCUCUCCUAGGAGUGAUUUGAGGAGAGCUCAGAGAGGCAGCAUUUUAACCCAAGAGGUUGGAGGGAGGGAUCGGAAGCGAGGCUUCCAGAGAACCUGUUUUUGGUGGCUGGAAAAGCCGCAUGUCCACUGGACAGAAUGAAAGCAUGUGAGGCUUUCAAUUACAAAUCAUCCUGGCAUUGGUUCAAAGUGCCCCAACAGCCCCUGGAGCCCUGCGGCUGGGCAGAGCGGCCCACGUGGCUUUUUCGAUCUCCAGGGUGUGACAACGUCGCUGUGGCCUUGGCAGUGAUGGAGGAGGGGCGCUGGGAACACGCUGGAAGACAGGCAUCGUACUGAAAUCAAAUUUACCAGCACACGUAUUCUUGGGUCUUUGUGCAGAUCCAUGGUUCUCAAGUUGCAAAGACAGUGAAUGGAACCCUUCCCUCGACCUCAGCACCCAAAGCCCCGACGGAUCUUUAGAAAAAUGUCUACAUUUCAAACAAAAAGUGAUAACUCGGGCUGCCAAGAUCAUGUUGCUGUGGUGUUGAUUCUUUGCUGAGGAAUGUGCCCAUGAGGUAUCUGUUUACAACACUAAUUGCCAAUGAACAAGUGAGAAAUAGUGCUCUUGGCCAAAAUAUAUUCUGUUGCUAGAAAACAAUACAGCUAAAGUAUUUGUGAAAUUAUCAGAACACAGUCACUUAUUCAUAAUAUUGUACAAGAUGUCCUUGUCCCCAGAAAUGCUCCUAUCCUCAUCCAAGACUGUCUUUAGAAGCAAACGUUUCCCAACAAAAUCGAGUUUUGUUCUCAAUUUGUCUUAACAAGGAAUGACAUAAGUUUACCAGACAAAGGAGUUCCAUUUUUUGUUCCCUGUGUUUAAUCUGUGCAGACAGAAGGCUGUAAAUAUCAUAAGUGGUUGUUGCCGGCUGGCCGUGGAGGGGCCCAGUUCGUUAAGGACCAUGGUUCGCUGGUUUCUUGUAUGGCCUCCAAGGGCCAAGAGAGUGCUUCCCCAUCAUCACUAUGAGGCCUGGUGAACAAAAGCUGGGGCCCAGGAGCCUGUGUGGAUGGAUGGUGUGACCUCUGACCUCCACUAGCGGGGCCUGGAGGGAAAGAGGCAAAGUCAGGCUCCAGUAACGUUUAAUGACAGAUCUUGUUAGGGUUAAAAAAACAGCUCCGGCAUCCAGCUGGGACUUCAUCGGGGGAGGUGCUCAGAGGGCCUUCAGCCGCUGACAGGCACGGGGCCCCAUGCACGGUUGCAACAGGUGCUGGCUAAGCAGUCUUUUUGAUCCUGCCCUUGUCAAGGACCCCCACCUCGUCAGUCUGACUCCACAGGAAGAUUCGUUCUUUUUUUC
This 1364-nucleotide long non-coding RNA is filed under the name Felis catus (domestic cat). Its description in RNAcentral is "lncRNA (ENSFCAG00000050097.1)". The record is from RNAcentral. Lineage: Eukaryota; Metazoa; Chordata; Mammalia; Carnivora; Felidae.